This 75-nucleotide transfer RNA is filed under the name Mucilaginibacter sp. PAMC 26640. RNAcentral describes it as "tRNA-Arg". It matches the Rfam family "tRNA". Rfam says of the family: Transfer RNA (tRNA) molecules are approximately 80 nucleotides in length. Their secondary structure includes four short double-helical elements and three loops (D, anti-codon, and T loops). The record is from RNAcentral. RNAcentral also lists the same sequence under 1 other name. Lineage: Bacteria; Pseudomonadati; Bacteroidota; Sphingobacteriia; Sphingobacteriales; Sphingobacteriaceae.
GUUUCCGUAGUUCAAUGGAUAGAAUUAUGGCCUCCGAAGCCGUCGAUAUGAGUUCGAAUCUCAUCGGAAACACAA